GGUAUUGAUUGGUGCUUGCAUCAUGAUUUACAUUUGAGUGAGUGGCGAACUGGUGAGUAACACGUGGGAAACCUGCCCAGAAGCGGGGGAUAACACCUGGAAACAGAUGCUAAUACCGCAUAACAACUUGGACCGCAUGGUCCGAGUUUGAAAGAUGGCUUCGGCUAUCACUUUUGGAUGGUCCCGCGGCGUAUUAGCUAGAUGGUGGGGUAACGGCUCACCAUGGCAAUGAUACGUAGCCGACCUGAGAGGGUAAUCGGCCACAUUGGGACUGAGACACGGCCCAAACUCCUACGGGAGGCAGCAGUAGGGAAUCUUCCACAAUGGACGAAAGUCUGAUGGAGCAACGCCGCGUGAGUGAAGAAGGGUUUCGGCUCGUAAAACUCUGUUGUUAAAGAAGAACAUAUCUGAGAGUAACUGUUCAGGUAUUGACGGUAUUUAACCAGAAAGCCACGGCUAACUACGUGCCAGCAGCCGCGGUAAUACGUAGGUGGCAAGCGUUGUCCGGAUUUAUUGGGCGUAAAGCGAGCGCAGGCGGUUUUUUAAGUCUGAUGUGAAAGCCUUCGGCUCAACCGAAGAAGUGCAUCGGAAACUGGGAAACUUGAGUGCAGAAGAGGACAGUGGAACUCCAUGUGUAGCGGUGAAAUGCGUAGAUAUAUGGAAGAACACCAGUGGCGAAAGCGGCUGUCUGGUCUGUAACUGACGCU
This 707-nucleotide ribosomal RNA is filed under the name Lactobacillus sp. 3.8.8. RNAcentral describes it as "bacterial SSU rRNA". It matches the Rfam family "Bacterial small subunit ribosomal RNA", at positions 68 to 747 of the family's 1533-position model. Lineage: Bacteria; Bacillati; Bacillota; Bacilli; Lactobacillales; Lactobacillaceae. The record is from RNAcentral.